UACAGAGGGGGCAAGCGUUAUUCGGAAUUAUUGGGCGUAAAGGGCGCGUAGGCGGCUUGGCAAGUGGAUGGUGAAAUCCCUCGGCUUAACCGAGGAACUGCCGUCCAAACUGCUUCGCUUGAGACCGGGAGAGGUGAGUGGAAUUCCCAGUGUAGCGGUGAAAUGCGUAGAUAUUGGGAGGAACACCAGUGGCGAAGGCGGCUCACUGGACCGGUACUGACGCUGAGGUGCGAAAGCGUGGGGAGCAAACAGG
Molecule: ribosomal RNA, 253 nt
Filed under: uncultured bacterium
Lineage: Bacteria
Description: partial 16S ribosomal RNA
Rfam family: Bacterial small subunit ribosomal RNA
Source: RNAcentral